AACACUGUUAACCUGCGGUACCUGCGGAGGGAUCAUCAUUGAAAAACAUUUUUCCCAAGCCUCUGAGGGGGGGGGGGAAUAGGGAAUGUGGGAAGGGAAAAUUUUUCCUUUUCAUUCUUUUCCUCCUUCUUCUUUCUGGCUUGGCAAACAACUUUGAUACCCAAAAAGAGUUUCAUCUUCUUCAUCUUUUAGCUUUCAGCUUGGUUAAUUAAUUAAUUAAUUAGUUAGUUAGGCUGCUGG
This 240-nucleotide unclassified non-coding RNA is filed under the name soil metagenome. RNAcentral describes it as "partial contains 5.8S ribosomal RNA, internal transcribed spacer 2, and large subunit ribosomal RNA". The record is from RNAcentral.